RNAcentral lists this transfer RNA (75 nucleotides) under Nitrospirota bacterium. RNAcentral describes it as "Nitrospirae bacterium (sediment metagenome) tRNA-Thr". It matches the Rfam family "tRNA". Rfam says of the family: Transfer RNA (tRNA) molecules are approximately 80 nucleotides in length. Their secondary structure includes four short double-helical elements and three loops (D, anti-codon, and T loops). The record is from RNAcentral. RNAcentral also lists the same sequence under 2 other names. Lineage: Bacteria; Pseudomonadati; Nitrospirota.
GCCGGUGUAGCUCAGAGGCAGAGCAGCUGAUUCGUAAUCAGCAGGUCGUCGGUUCGACUCCGACCACCGGCUCCA